This 117-nucleotide microRNA precursor is filed under the name Lutzomyia longipalpis. RNAcentral's name for it is "microRNA mir-981". The record is from RNAcentral. Lineage: Eukaryota; Metazoa; Arthropoda; Insecta; Diptera; Psychodidae.
AAAUCACAAAUACUUUCUUGUUGAUCCGGUCUUCGUCAGUGGAGUUUUCUUCUUAACCAGGAAAAAGAAGAAAACUCCACUGACGAAGACCGGAUCAACAAGAAAGUAUAAACACCC